GCUGCGACGGGACAGGCGUCCGGGGUAGUAUGGAGGGGGGAAGCGGUGUUUGGGAUGAAGAGGCGUAAAGGGCGUGUCGGCGGAGCGGUAUGUUGGACGGGAGAUCCCCGGGCUCAACGCGGUGCGGUCGUUCAAAACUGCCGUGCUAGAGUGUGGGAGAGGGAAGUGGAAUUCCCGGUGUAGCUGUGAAAUGCGUAGAUAUCGGGAAGAACACCUGUGGCGAAGGCGGCUUCCUGGCCCGCAACUGACGCUGAGGCGCGAAAGCUAGGGGAGCAAACAGGAUUAGAUACCCGAGUAGUC
Molecule: ribosomal RNA, 300 nt
Filed under: uncultured Desulfurococcus sp.
Lineage: Archaea; Thermoproteati; Thermoproteota; Thermoprotei; Desulfurococcales; Desulfurococcaceae
Description: bacterial SSU rRNA
Rfam family: Bacterial small subunit ribosomal RNA (bases 62-300)
Source: RNAcentral